Molecule: ribosomal RNA, 465 nt
Filed under: uncultured bacterium
Lineage: Bacteria
Description: partial 16S ribosomal RNA
Rfam family: Bacterial small subunit ribosomal RNA
Source: RNAcentral
GACGAACGCUGGCGGCGUGCUUAACACAUGCAAGUCGAACGGAAAGGCCCUGCUUGCAGGGUACUCGAGUGGCGAACGGGUGAGUAACACGUGGGUGAUCUGCCUUGCACUUCGGGAUAAGCCUGGGAAACUGGGUCUAAUACCGGAUAGGAGCCAUUUUUAGUGUGAUGGUUGGAAAGUUUUUUCGGUGUAGGAUGAGCUCGCGGCCUAUCAGCUUGUUGGUGGGGUAAUGGCCUACCAAGGCGGCGACGGGUAGCCGGCCUGAGAGGGUGGACGGCCACAUUGGGACUGAGAUACGGCCCAGACUCCUACGGGAGGCAGCAGUGGGGAAUAUUGCACAAUGGGCGCAAGCCUGAUGCAGCGACGCCGCGUGGGGGAUGACGGCCUUCGGGUUGUAAACUCCUUUCGCUAGGGACGAAGCUUUUUGUGACGGUACCUAGAGAAGAAGCACCGGCUAACUACGUG